RNAcentral lists this unclassified non-coding RNA (221 nucleotides) under uncultured Gammaproteobacteria bacterium. RNAcentral describes it as "contains 16S-23S intergenic spacer region". It matches the Rfam family "Bacterial small subunit ribosomal RNA", at positions 980 to 1197 of the family's 1533-position model. Lineage: Bacteria; Pseudomonadati; Pseudomonadota; Gammaproteobacteria. The record is from RNAcentral.
UACCCUUGACAUGGUCGGAAGCCUCUCGAGACGGAGGCGUGCCCGAAAGGGAGCCGACACACAGGUGCUGCAUGGCUGUCGUCAGCUCGUGUCGUGAGAUGUUGGGUUAAGUCCCGCAACGAGCGCAACCCUUGUCAUUAGUUGCUACAUUCAGUUGGGCACUCUAAUGAGACUGCCGGUGACAAACCGGAGGAAGGUGGGGAUGACGUUACGGUCUUACU